GGACUGUACAUUUUUAUUUUUUGCUCCAAAUUGAGUGAAUGAGGUCCCAACUCGGUUUGUGCACUUGGCCGGCGCUAGAAAUUAUUGAUGGUGAAGGGCAGGGGGUGUACAUUUUCACAGUAGCGUACGCGGGACUUUUUUUCGGGACGGGUUUUGUUUAUAAAUUAUAACAAUUUUCUAGAAAGAGCGCAUAUUAUCAGUACAGUGCUAUUACCAUUAUUACCGAAUAAAUUACUUUUGAUGAGAUUCAAUUUUAUUUUAUUCUGCAUGGUAUACGAUGUGAAUAUAAAACUUGAUUUAUCAAAAUAUAAUGAAGGAAAACUUUUCGAAGGGAGUAAUGACCACCCCCCUCCUCGAUCCAUCCUUGAUUUAUGUUUCGUAUAAAUAUAUACGUAAGUAACUUAACUACUAACUACUACGUUAGGUUUAGAUAUACACGUAUAAUACUGUAAUAGCGAACUAUACGUAGAUAAUUCGUGUAGUUUACAUAGAAUUAUGUUUGUACAUUUUCCACCAAUCCUCACUAUGAAUUAUAGGAAUGUAGGGAAAAAAGCCAACAAUAUAAUGUUAAUCUAUACUACUAUAUAAAUUGAAGUCGCUUUUUUUUUGUUCGGGAUAAACUCCGAAACAACUUAUUCAAUCGUCGUGCAAUUUUUUUUAAACUAAAGAGGACAUCAUAGAGAAGGUUUUAGGCAUAAAUUUAGUCCGAUAAAGUUAAUUAAUAAUUAGUUAUUAUUAAUUAAAAU
Non-coding RNA from Cinara cedri, 746 nucleotides. The record is from the annotation of a GenBank genome assembly. NCBI's taxonomy places the organism in Eukaryota, Metazoa, Arthropoda, Insecta, Hemiptera, Aphididae.